GAUGAAGACGCAGCGAAAUGCGAUAAGUAAUGUGAAUUGCAGAAUUCAGUGAAUCAUCGAAUCUUUGAACGCACAUUGCGCCCAUUAGCAUUCUAGUGGGCAUGCCUGUUCGAGCGUCAUUUCAACCCUUAAGCCCUGUUGCUUAGCGUUGGGAGCCUACAGUACUGUAGCUCCCCAAAGUUAGUGGCGGAGUCGGUUUCACACUCUAGACGUAGUAAUUUUUUCUCGUCUGUAGUUGAGCCGGUCCCCUGCCGUAAAACACCCAAUUUAUCAAGGUUGACCUCGGAUCAGGUAGGAAUACCCGCUGAACUUAAGCAUAUCAAUAAGCGGAGGA
This 334-nucleotide unclassified non-coding RNA is filed under the name soil metagenome. RNAcentral's name for it is "partial contains 5.8S ribosomal RNA, internal transcribed spacer 2, and large subunit ribosomal RNA". The stretch from base 1 to 119 matches the Rfam family "5.8S ribosomal RNA", at positions 35 to 154 of the family's 154-position model. The record is from RNAcentral.